Molecule: ribosomal RNA, 596 nt
Filed under: uncultured bacterium
Lineage: Bacteria
Description: bacterial SSU rRNA
Rfam family: Bacterial small subunit ribosomal RNA
Source: RNAcentral
CCUACGGGAGGCAGCAGUGAGGAAUUUUCCGCAAUGGGCGAAAGCCUGACGGAGCAAUACCGCGUGAGGGAUGAAGGAUUUUGGUCUGUAAACCUCUUUUCUCAAGAAAGAAGUUCUGACGGUACUUGAGGAAUAAGCAUCGGCUAACUCCGUGCCAGCAGCCGCGGUAAUACGGGGGAUGCAAGCGUUAUCCGGAAUGAUUGGGCGUAAAGCGCCUGUAGGUUGUUUAUUAAGUCCGUUGUUAAAGCCUAGGGCUCAACCCUAGAAAAGCAAUGGAAACUAGUAGACUAGAGUAUGGCAGGGGUAGAGGGAAUUUCUAGUGUAGCGGUGAAAUGCGUAGAUAUUAGAAAGAACACCGGUGGCGAAAGCGCUCUACUGGACCAUUACUGACACUCAGAGGCGAAAGCUAGGGUAGCAAAAGGGAUUAGAUACCCCUGUAGUCCUAGCCGUAAACGAUGGAUACUAGAUGUUGUGCAUUAUGUACAGUAUCGUAGCUAACGCGUUAAGUAUCCCGCCUGGGGAGUACGCUCGCAAGGGUGAAACUCAAAGAGUAGUACGGACGUGNGAGACGCGACGACGACGACGACGGAGGAGAG